Molecule: ribosomal RNA, 262 nt
Filed under: uncultured bacterium
Lineage: Bacteria
Description: partial 16S ribosomal RNA
Rfam family: Bacterial small subunit ribosomal RNA
Source: RNAcentral
GACGUAGGUGGCGAACGUUAUCCGGAAUUAUUGGGCGUAAAGGGUGCGUAGGCGGCAUAAUAAGUUAUUGGCGGGAAAUCGAGGCUCAACCUCGUGGAAACUGAUAAUACUGUUUUGCUUGAGUACAGGAGAGGUUAACGGAACUCCAUGUGGAGCGGUAAAAUGUGUAGAUAUAUGGAAGAACAUCAAUAACGGCGAAGGCAGUUAACUAUUCUGUUACUGACGUUGAGGCACGAAAGCGUGGGGAGCAAAAGGAGUUAGA